UCCGCUCCUCCUCCGCCGUCCCCACCGCCGGACAAGCAAAGCAAAGCAAAGCGAGACGUCGCUGGUGGAGGCGACAGAUGCCUUCGUUCUCUCUGAUAAUUACCAACACGCCACUGUCAGCGGUGAUGCGCUGGGACUCUGCAGAUCACCAGGUAAGCGAGCUGCUGCGAGCGUCCGUUAGAGGCCUCCUCGGGAUUUGGGCCAUAAAGUCGAUGGCCCCCCUCCUCGGGCCCCACCACCACGGGAAUUACCCUUCCUGCCACCCCAUUUCCACGUAUUUACCUUGACACCACUGCCCCGCUGAUCCGGAUAGGAUUCUCGAUGACUUGGCGUCCGACGUGGCCCCCCGGAGGAGAUUUCCGACCGUUCGGCUCCCCCCCUCCGGCGGAAGCCCAAGUACUGCGCCGACAGCGGCGCGGACAGCAAGGAAUCGGCUUCCGUCGGGCAGUAGACGGGGGGAGUCGUCGUCUCCGGCUUUCCUCAUGCUGGGCCCUGUAGCUUCCCUCUGUCUUCACUGUCGUUGUUAUUCAUGCGGAAGAAAACAAACCGACCAGAG
Molecule: long non-coding RNA, 556 nt
Filed under: Spirodela polyrhiza (greater duckweed)
Lineage: Eukaryota; Viridiplantae; Streptophyta; Magnoliopsida; Alismatales; Araceae
Description: long non-coding RNA (SPOL_LNC000307)
Source: RNAcentral